RNAcentral lists this ribosomal RNA (446 nucleotides) under uncultured bacterium. RNAcentral's name for it is "partial 16S ribosomal RNA". It matches the Rfam family "Bacterial small subunit ribosomal RNA", at positions 338 to 795 of the family's 1533-position model. The record is from RNAcentral.
CCUACGGGUGGCAGCAGUCGAGAAUCAUUCACAAUGGGGGAAACCCUGAUGGUGCGACGCCGCGUGGGGGAAUGAAGGUCUUCGGAUUGUAAACCCCUGUCAUGUGGGAGCAAAUUAAAAAGAUCGUACCACAAGAGGAAGAGACGGCUAACUCUGUGUCAGCAGCCGCGGUAAUACAGAGGUCUCAAGCGUUGUUCGGAAUCACUGGGCGUAAGGCGUGCGUAGGCUGUUUCGUAAGUCGUGUGUGAAAGGCGCGGGCUCAACCCGCGGACGGCACAUGAUACUGCGAGACUAGAGUAAUGGAGGGGGAACCGGAAUUCUCGGUGUAGCAGUGAAAUGCGUAGAUAUCGAGAGGAACACUCGUGGCGAAGGCGGGUUCCUGGACAUUAACUGACGCUGAGGCACGAAGGCCAGGGGAGCGAAAGGGAUUAGAUACCCUAGUAGUC